Molecule: ribosomal RNA, 460 nt
Filed under: uncultured bacterium
Lineage: Bacteria
Description: bacterial SSU rRNA
Rfam family: Bacterial small subunit ribosomal RNA
Source: RNAcentral
CGCUGGCGGCGUGCUUAACACAUGCAAGUCGAACGGUGAACCAGAGCUUGCUCUGGGGAUCAGUGGCGAACGGGUGAGUAACACGUGGGCAACCUGCCCCAGACUCUGGGAUAACCUCGGGAAACCGAUGCUAAUACCGGAUACGACCACUUCGGACAUCCGACGGUGGUGGAAAGUUUUUCGGUCUGGGAUGGGCCCGCGGCCUAUCAGCUAGUUGGUGGGGUAAUGGCAUACCAAGGCGACGACGGGUAGCCGGCCUGAGAGGGCGACCGGCCACACUGGAACUGAGACACGGUCCAGACUCCUACGGGAGGCAGCAGUGGGGAAUAUUGCACAAUGGGCGAAAGCCUGAUGCAGCGACGCCGCGUGAGGGACGACGGCCUUCGGGUUGUAAACCUCUUUCAGCAGGGACGAAGCGAAAGUGACUGUACCUGCAGAAGAAGCACCGGCUAACUACGUG